GCCCUGGUGGCGGAAUUGGUAGACGCGCUAGAUUCAGGUUCUAGUGAAUGCAAGUUCGUGGAAGUUCGAAUCUUCUCCAGGGCACCA
RNAcentral lists this transfer RNA (87 nucleotides) under Alphaproteobacteria bacterium. RNAcentral's name for it is "tRNA-Leu". It matches the Rfam family "tRNA". Rfam says of the family: Transfer RNA (tRNA) molecules are approximately 80 nucleotides in length. Their secondary structure includes four short double-helical elements and three loops (D, anti-codon, and T loops). Further hydrogen bonds mediate the characteristic L-shaped molecular structure. tRNAs have two regions of fundamental functional importance: the anti-codon, which is responsible for specific mRNA codon recognition, and the 3' end, to which the tRNAs corresponding amino acid is attached (by aminoacyl-tRNA synthetases). tRNAs cope with the degeneracy of the genetic code in two manners: having more than one tRNA (with a specific anti-codon) for a particular amino acid; and 'wobble' base-pairing, i.e. permitting non-standard base-pairing at the 3rd anti-codon position. The record is from RNAcentral. Lineage: Bacteria; Pseudomonadati; Pseudomonadota; Alphaproteobacteria.